This 506-nucleotide ribosomal RNA is filed under the name uncultured bacterium. RNAcentral describes it as "partial 16S ribosomal RNA". It matches the Rfam family "Bacterial small subunit ribosomal RNA", at positions 29 to 523 of the family's 1533-position model. The record is from RNAcentral.
AGUGAACGCUGGCGGUAGGCCUAACACAUGCAAGUCGAACGGCAGCACAGGAGAGCUUGCUCUCUGGGUGGCGAGUGGCGGACGGGUGAGGAAUACAUCGGAAUCUACUUUUUCGUGGGGGAUAACGUAGGGAAACUUACGCUAAUACCGCAUACGACCUACGGGUGAAAGCAGGGGACCUUCGGGCCUUGCGCGAUUGAAUGAGCCGAUGUCGGAUUAGCUAGUUGGCGGGGUAAAGGCCCACUAAGGCGACGAUCCGUAGCUGGUCUGAGAGGAUGAUCAGCCACACUGAAACUGAGACACGGUCCAGACUCCGACGUGAGGCAGCAGUGGGGAAUAUUGGACAAUGGGCGCAAGCCUGAUCCAGCCAUACCGCGUGGGUGAAGACGGCCUUCGGGUUGUAAAGCCCUUUUGUUGGGAAAGAAAUCCAUCUGGUUAAUACCCGGGUGGGAUGACGGUACCCAAAGAAUAAGCACCGGCUAACUUCGUGCCAGCCGCCGCCGUAA